AAGGCAAGCAGACGGAGAAAUCUCCCCAACUUCCAAUGUCUUCAAAGAAGAACAAAUCAAUGUUUAGCAAACCCUACCUGGCAAAAAGUUUAGACUGGGAUAGAGAUUUCCUUACAAGUGAAGGUGUUCUGGAUUAUGAUGAACUGGCUAGCCUAAACAGCACGUUCAGCAAGAUUGAAGCAAGCUCACUUUCUGUAAUUCCUGAGUCAAAAAUAUCAACAGAGACGAAUUCAACUUUAUGCGAUGAUGAUAGCUCGGCCUUGGAGAACCUCGAAUUUCAUUUGUUUGAAAAAAAAAGUGCUUCCAUUAAGACUCUUGGUACUCGUGUAAGGACUUCAGGAUCGGAAAAAUUAAACAAGAACAUUCCAAGAAAGGGUCGCACAAGGUCUCUUGAGUUGCCAACCAAAGUCGAAGUUUCUCAGUAUAAGAAUAAGUCUCUUGUAGUACCAGGACAGUACGGCACUAUCAACCAUCGUCUUCAGAACACUUCGAGAUGGGUUACAGCCGUUGCCAAGGCAGGUUAUGAGGGACUUGCUGGUGGAAAGACAGUCUCAAAGCCAACUAGUGCUUUGCCUAAAUCAAAUCUGUUGACAGUGCCAGCAGCCAAGACAAUUUGUGCUCCUGGAAGCAUCCAAAUAGGAACUAGAGAAUCCAAAGAAAAAUCAGGCGAUGUAGCGGUGCAAAAAGUUGUAGCUUUUAAGCGAUUCAACAAAGGCUCAUCCGGCAGCGUUUUAAAGCCCCAAGCAUCAAAAGCUACCUCGAAUUCGACCAGCGGUUCAUCACGCUGGACGCAUAACUCUCCACCAGAGAACACAAGGAUGAGAUGUACUUCUCAGACUACCAGUCACUCCUCUUCUGGAUCAAUGGCUAAUAAGGCAUCCUCAUCUAAAUCAAAUACUAAUCAAGCAUUCUCAAAGAGUAGCACAGCUAGAACAGUCCACACUAGUGCAAAUAACUCCUCGACAGCUCGAGGUUUAUCUGUCGAGCUAUCUUUACCUGCAACUCCAAGUAGCUCCUGCCACAAUGUUGGUUCAGUAUCAUCUUCAUCGACCAUCUGUCCUGUUAAAUCGGUAAUGAAUGGUGAUGAAGCUAGUUCUUCAACCUCAUCACUAGUGGCAGUUGAUGCUAACAAAAUCCAUAAAACAAAUUCUAAGUCAUCUUUUGAUCCUGUAAACUCAGAAGACGACUCAUGCAUAUCGCAUAUUUCAAAAAAUUCCAUAAAUAAUCAUGCAAUGCCAACAUCUCGUAAAGGAAACAAUUCAAAGAACAGCCCUGGCAACAGAACAGGAGCAAAAUUGGGCAAACCUUCAGGUCCCAUUGUGCCACACUCUAAACUUGCUAACUCAGAUUUGAAGAAACCCGCCAACCGCAACGUUGGAACUCUUCCACAGACUAGCCCACAGCCCAAACUUCUGAAAGCCACAAGCCAAACAAAUAAGAGUGAUGCAGCAAACAAAGCAAAACCGACCAUGCCCCAACAUGCCAGACCUGCAACUAGGAACAAGACCAUGAAUGGUCAUUUAAGGACUACUGCUUCAUCCCGCUCUUCGAGCAUGGAAUCCCUACCAUUUGUCCAGUUUGAGCCCAGUGGUUCCAACGGCUCUUAACUCUUUUGCAGUUUUGCAACAUGACAGCCCAUUCAAGGUUUUCGGAUUCACAGAACCGAUUACACUCAAAGUUUGAGCCAUUCCUGAUUUACCAGAAUCACGGAAAUAUACAGCCAGACAACCUGCAAUCAUCAUUUGAAUGAACAUAUGCAACAAAGACCCAACUGCGCCUGAAUGAUCUUAUUCACAUCUUUGUUCUGGAGAAGAAGAUUUAAUUGCCAUUUAUUCUGUUGUAUAUUCUUAUUAAUUUGAUUGCUCUUGGUUAUGUUCAACCUUAAGAUGAGAACAACAGCAAACAAACUGUUGAA
Molecule: RNA transcript, 1915 nt
Organism: Zingiber officinale
Lineage: Eukaryota; Viridiplantae; Streptophyta; Magnoliopsida; Zingiberales; Zingiberaceae
Exons: 8
Source: RefSeq, a predicted model, not a curated record